RNAcentral lists this unclassified non-coding RNA (2251 nucleotides) under Orussus abietinus. RNAcentral describes it as "magnesium transporter NIPA2, transcript variant X2". The record is from RNAcentral. Lineage: Eukaryota; Metazoa; Arthropoda; Insecta; Hymenoptera; Orussidae.
GCCAUUGGGGGGGUAUCAGGGGGCAAGUGCGUUAGCCGUCCACAUCCUCCACCAGGGAACAGCACAGGACGCGAUCACGGAACCCUGCCCGUGAACAGAGUGAAAUCUACCGAAAUCGUUUCAUCGGGAAAUCGCUGAUUCUUAAGACUGCAUGAAAUAACGUAUUGCAAUUUUAAGAAACUUUGUUAUUAUAUUGUCAAAUCCCCCAUUGUCAGGUCAAAAAUGACGUCAUAUGUAAGAUAGAACCUACGUGACAAAAGAUGAAUACGGAGAUAUUUCUUGUCUAUGCCUUAAACAAACACUCAUAUUUGUUUUGACAUACGAUUUGCACGAUAAAACAAGACUCAAGACAAUGGACGUAGUGGAUACAACAAUGGAAACCUCAAAUCCUUACAACAUGAAAAAUUAUUACAUCGGUUUAGGGUUAGCAAUCAGCUCAAGCGGUUUUAUAGGAGCUAGUUUUAUUAUUAAGAAAAAAGCACUUAUCAGAUUAGAGCGGUAUGGAAUUCGUGCCGGUGCUGGUGGUUUCGGUUAUUUAAGACAAUGGAUUUGGUGGGCUGGCUUAUUAUCCAUGGGAAUUGGGGAAGCAGCAAACUUUGCUGCUUAUGCAUUUGCUCCCGCUUCUUUAGUUACACCUUUGGGUGCAUUAAGUGUCUUAGUAGCGGCAAUUUUAGCAUCUAAAUUCCUCAACGAGAAAUUGAAUUUACUUGGAAAAAUUGGGUGUUUUCUGUGUAUCUUAGGUUCGACUAUGAUUGUAAUACAUUCGCCAAAAGAAGAAGAAGUAGAAAACUUAAAGGAGCUAUUGAUAAAAUUAAAAGAUCCUGGAUUUAUUAGUUACGUUUUUUUCAUUAUAACCGGUAGCUUAUCUAUAAUUUUUCAUUUUGGACCGCUCUAUGGAAAGCAGUAUAUUGUUGUCUAUAUACUUCUUUGUUCCAGCAUUGGUUCGUUAACUGUAAUGAGUUGCAAAGGUCUUGGUUUAGCUCUGAAAGAAACUUUUUAUGGUGUCAACAAUGAAAUGGGCAACUGGCUGACAUGGGCGUUUCUAUUCACUAUUAUUGUUUGCAUCAUGAUUCAAAUGAAUUAUUUAAACAAAUCCUUAGACCUAUUCAAUACUGGAAUUGUGACUCCUACCUAUUAUGUCUUUUUUACCACACUUGUAAUAAUAGCUUCGGUGAUACUCUUUCGAGAGUGGCGACAUAUGACUGCUGAAGACAUUAUAGGCUCAUUGUAUGGAUUCUUUACGAUCAUCACUGGUAUAUUUCUUCUUAACGCCUUCAGGGACAUUGAUAUUAGCUAUAACAAUAUUAAACAAAUAUUCAAUCCCAAGAGACACAUAGUAGGGAGUCACAAUUCAAGGUGGAAUUCCAGAGAUGAUGAAGGGUUACUAACUAGAUCAGAGUCCGAUCAAGAACACGGGUAUGGAAGCCCAGGAAUUACUCGAACAAUAUGACGCAUGGAGUAAUGUAUAAAUGUAUAUGAACGAAUAUGUGUACAUAGUCAGGAGUAUGAUAAAAGAAUGUAUAAUUAAUGUAUAGUAGUUUGCGUAAAAAGAUAUUUGCAUAUAAAUUGUUUAAAAAAGAAAUCUAUAACAUAAGAUUCUCAAUUUGGGAAUACAACAUUCUAACAUGGCUUCAUGAGCAAGAACGGUGGGAACCAUUGAUCUAAUCUGUAUUAACCUUUUGGCUACUAAGAGCGCCUAAAGGCGUCCGACGUUUGGUCCAAUAUUGCCUGCACGGUCAGACGAAUUUCGCUCAUACGAGUAUGUCAAAAUGGCUCCGUGUUCAAAGGUUAAUAAUAAGUUUGCACUGACGCUAUUUUAAUUAUAACUUGAACAAAAGUAGAAACUUGUAGUAGAAGCUUUAUGAAUUUUAAAAUGUAGAAAAUUAUUUAUAAAAUGUCUAUUUAUGAUAUUUAAUAAAAAGCAGCUUUAAGGAUUCAACAAAAUGAUAACUACACCGAUGCGUCACGUCAAAACCAAGGAAAUCCUAUGUAAUUUCAUAAAUUUUACCAUUUGCCAUCAAUAAUAUUUAUUGACACGAAAUUGUAUACAGCUGCUCAUCUAAGAACUAUAUUUUCUGUUAAUUUCAGAACUUACGCACACAAAAUAGAUCACGCUUCUGAAAUUCUGUUUUAUCAAAAUAAUUUGCUUCGAUGAAUUGAAGACAGAAUACAAAGAUCCUAUCGAUCAAUGUAAUAGUUUAAACCCAUUAGUUCUUCCAGAGUAUGGGUUACACAUCUUUUUUAACAUACU